GACGAACGCUGGCGGCGUGCUUAACACAUGCAAGUCGAACGCUGAAGCCCUUUCGGGGGUGGAUGAGUGGCGAACGGGUGGGUAACACGUGGGUAAUCUGCCCUGCACUCUGGGAUAAGCCUUGGAAACGGGGUCUAAUACCGGAUAGGACACAUCGCCGCAUGGUGUGUGUGUGGAAAGUUCCGGCGGUGCAGGUUGAGCCCGCGGCCUAUCAGCUUGUUGGUGGGGUGAUGGCCUACCAAGGCGACGACGGGUAGCGGGCCUGAGAGGGUGACCGGCCACACUGGGACUGAGACACGGCCCAGACUCCUACGGGAGGCAGCAGUGGGGAAUCUUGCGCAAUGGGCGAAAGCCUGACUCAGCAACGCCGCGUGGGGGAUGACGGCCUUCGGGUUGUAAACCUCUUUCGACCGGGACGAAGGGUGACUGACGGUACCGGUAGAAGAAGCACCGGCUAACUACGUGCCAGCAGCCGCAGUAA
RNAcentral lists this ribosomal RNA (481 nucleotides) under uncultured bacterium. RNAcentral's name for it is "partial 16S ribosomal RNA". It matches the Rfam family "Bacterial small subunit ribosomal RNA", at positions 28 to 523 of the family's 1533-position model. The record is from RNAcentral.